Molecule: long non-coding RNA, 427 nt
Organism: Spea bombifrons (plains spadefoot toad)
Lineage: Eukaryota; Metazoa; Chordata; Amphibia; Anura; Pelobatidae
Exons: 2
Source: RefSeq, a predicted model, not a curated record
AAUCCUUUGGCAACGCACAGGUUGAUGAGAAGCUGGAUGAGAAAAUCAUCUAUGAAGCGCAUUAGGCUUGUCAGACCAGCAUGCUAUAAAUUGGUCCUCCACAGUCUACGUACCAUGAGUAAAAAUGUUACAAAUGCUUAAAUGUUAGAUUUGAUUUUCAGGGAGCAGGGAUACACACACCUGUGGGAUAAAACAAGCAGUGUGUCCUGCAUCAAUUGUCUAUUUUGUCACAUUAACGGCUCAGUGGAGUUUGCUAUCCCAGUUUGGAGUUAACGGAAGUAUGGAAAAUGCUACACCCAAUCACAAAUGGAGUCUUGCUGAGCCAAUAGAGACGCAACUCCCACCUACGAAGUGACUUGACGUGGCACGUUAAGGAACCUCACUUUUUUUUAUCUUUUAUGGAAAUAAAAUCAAUUAUUUAAGUGUG